ACGCACGCUGGCGGCGUGCUUCACACCUGCAAGUCGCACGGAAAGGCCCUGCUUUUGUGGGGUGCUCGAGUGGCGAACGGGUGAGUAACACGUGAGUAACCUGCCCUUGACUUUGGGAUAACUUCAGGAAACUGGGGCUAAUACCGGAUAGGAGCUCCUGCUGCAUGGUGGGGGUUGGAAAGUUUCGGCGGUUGGGGAUGGACUCGCGGCUUAUCAGCUUGUUGGUGGGGUAGUGGCUUACCAAGGCUUUGACGGGUAGCCGGCCUGAGAGGGUGACCGGCCACAUUGGGACUGAGAUACGGCCCAGACUCCUACGGGAGGCAGCAGUGGGGAAUAUUGCACAAUGGGCGGAAGCCUGAUGCAGCAACGCCGCGUGCGGGAUGACGGCCUUCGGGUUGUAAACCGCUUUCGCCUGUGACGAAGCGUGAGUGACGGUAAUGGGUAAAGAAGCACCGGCUAACUACGUG
Molecule: ribosomal RNA, 467 nt
Filed under: uncultured bacterium
Lineage: Bacteria
Description: partial 16S ribosomal RNA
Rfam family: Bacterial small subunit ribosomal RNA
Source: RNAcentral